CUCAGCGGAUAUGCGUUUGAGUAAGCUCCAGGAGUUGGUGAUGGACAGGGAAGCCUGGCUUGCUGCAGUCUAUGGGGUUGCAAAGAGCUGGACACGACUGAGCGACUGAACUGAACUGAAUCUUUGGCACUGGCACCUCGUGUGGGUGAAGUGCUGGGCAUCCCAGAAGCCCCCUUUAGCGACAGGAUCUGCUGACCCACAGCGAAUGUUCUGGAAAGCGCUGGUGGACCUGAGAUGGAAAGAGGGUAAAGAGAGAGAGAGGCAUGGGGGCCUCGGGGGUGGGGGGUGGUGGUGAAGGAAUCAUGAAACAUCUUACCCUGUGUCUGGACAAGAAACCAAGGUCUCACUUGUGUUUUCCCAAAUAGCUAGUUGGUAUUACAGCACCAGAAUGUUAUUCCCUUCUAAAAAUAGAUAUUGCAUGUUAUCAGAGCUGUUCUUUCCUAUUAUUUUUUUGGUUCUUUCUUGAUUUGAAAAUGUUAGUUUUAUUGGUGGCAUUGCAUUUUGUUUGGAGGGGGCAUAUCUAGCAAUGUGUUUGCUUUCUCUACACCCUUUCAUACCUUCUCCAAAUCCCCCAGGCCAUUUGGUACUUCUGAACCUUCAUUUACGCUGUUCCCCAUGCCUGGGACCCUGUCUCCUCCGUAGGGCUCCUCCCAAGCCCUGAGACCAAACUCCUACUCAUCCUUCAAGACUCAAGUGAGACAGCUCUUUCUCUGGGGAGCCGUCCCUGUCUCCUUUAUCUCCACUCCUCAACCCCCACCCCCCACCAACCCCUAACCGUGGACUCCUGCCCACUGAUCUCAUGAGCCCCAUGCAUGUAUUUCCCUGCUUCCCAUCCAUAUGUUAAUUACAGUCGAAGCGAUCGUGUC
Bubalus bubalis (water buffalo) is the source of this 866-nucleotide long non-coding RNA. RefSeq lists it as uncharacterized. Lineage: Eukaryota; Metazoa; Chordata; Mammalia; Artiodactyla; Bovidae. The record is from RefSeq and is a predicted model, not a curated record. The transcript has 2 exons.